UACGUAGGUGGCAAGCGUUGUCCGGAUUUAUUGGGUUUAAAGGGUGCGUAGGCGGCUUUGUAAGUCAGUGGUGAAAUAUGGCAGCUCAACUGUCAAGGUGCCAUUGAUACUGCGGAGCUUGAGUACAGAUGAGGUAGGCGGAAUUGACGGUGUAGCGGUGAAAUGCUUAGAUAUCGUCAAGAACACCGAUAGCGAAGGCAGCUUACUAGGCUGUAACUGACGCUGAGGCACGAAAGUGUGGGGAUCAAACAGG
This 253-nucleotide ribosomal RNA is filed under the name uncultured bacterium. Its description in RNAcentral is "partial 16S ribosomal RNA". It matches the Rfam family "Bacterial small subunit ribosomal RNA", at positions 524 to 776 of the family's 1533-position model. The record is from RNAcentral.